GUAGAGGAAGUGUUCCCCAAUCAGACAUAAUAUCCAUUUUAAGGGUACAUUCAGGUAAUGGAGUUGCAAUUACUUCAUGUAACAUUUGUUCAAACAGUCCAAUUACAUCUAGUUUACUUUAACUCCAUCCACAGAAACUACAUGUAGUCCCCCAUCUAACUAUAGCUCCUUUACAAGGUGUCCUGCUUGUUACUAUAUUUUCUCCAGGUGGAAGAAUUCCUUGUAAAUCUGGAAGUCUGUUUUUGGUGUGCUUCAUUGUACUGACUGGUACCAAGACUUUUUUGGAUGUGCAGAAAUCUGACUCCCUUUCAGCUAUAAAAGCUGGAAAUAUUACAAUAAGUUCUUAUUUAAAUGGCCAUAAAGAGGUGAAAGAAUGAAGAAAAGUGGUCCACAAGAUCUGGAAAGGUCAGAGGUCAACUGUAGCAGCAGGAAAUAUGUUCAAGAAAGAAGAAUCCAUGUGACAUUAUUUGAACAAAUCAAAGAUACACAGACGUUCUUUGGAACAGGAAGACCUCCUCCAUAGUUGAUAUGCCCGCAGACCAUGAAGUUAAGGAAAAUAAAAAGGAGGGAUCAGCAGUUUUACA
This 584-nucleotide long non-coding RNA is filed under the name Felis catus (domestic cat). RNAcentral describes it as "lncRNA (ENSFCAG00000051076.1)". The record is from RNAcentral. Lineage: Eukaryota; Metazoa; Chordata; Mammalia; Carnivora; Felidae.